This 157-nucleotide ribosomal RNA is filed under the name uncultured bacterium. RNAcentral's name for it is "partial 16S ribosomal RNA". It matches the Rfam family "Bacterial small subunit ribosomal RNA", at positions 355 to 509 of the family's 1533-position model. The record is from RNAcentral.
UGAGGAAUAUUGGUCAAUGGACGCAAGUCUGAACCAGCCAUGCCGCGUGCAGGAAGACGGCUCUAUGAGUUGUAAACUGCUUUUGUACGAGGGUAAACGCAGAUACGUGUAUCUGUCUGAAAGUAUCGUACGAAUAAGGAUCGGCUAACUCCGUGCC